RNAcentral lists this ribosomal RNA (1047 nucleotides) under marine metagenome. RNAcentral describes it as "bacterial SSU rRNA". It matches the Rfam family "Bacterial small subunit ribosomal RNA", at positions 8 to 1050 of the family's 1533-position model. The record is from RNAcentral.
AGAGUUUGAUCCUGGCUCAGAUUGAACGCUGGCGGCAUGCCUUACACAUGCAAGUCGAACUGUAGCACGGAGCUUGCUCUGGUGGCGAGUGGCGAACGGGUGAGUAAUAUAUCGGAACGUACCCUAGAGUGGGGGAUAACGUAGCGAACGUUACGCUAAUACCGCAUACGAUCUAAGGAUGAAAGUGGGGGAUCGCAAGACCUCAUGCUCGUGGAGCGGCCGAUAUCUGAUUAGCUAGUUGGUAGGGUAAAAGCCUACCAAGGCAUCGAUCAGUAGCUGGUCUGAGAGGACGAGCAGCCACACUGGAACUGAGACACGGUCCAGACUCCUACGGGAGGCAGCAGUGGGGAAUUUUGGACAAUGGGCGAAAGCCUGAUCCAGCAAUGCCGCGUGAGUGAAGAAGGCCUUCGGGUUGUAAAGCUCUUUUGUCAGGGAAGAAACGGUGAGAGCUAAUAUCUCUUGCUAAUGACGGUACCUGAAGAAUAAGCACCGGCUAACUACGUGCCAGCAGCCGCGGUAAUACGUAGGGUGCAAGCGUUAAUCGGAAUUACUGGGCGUAAAGCGUGCGCAGGCGGUUUUGUAAGUCUGAUGUGAAAUCCCCGGGCUCAACCUGGGAAUUGCAUUGGAGACUGCAAGGAUAGAAUCUGGCAGAGGGGGGUAGAAUUCCACGUGUAGCAGUGAAAUGCGUAGAUAUGUGGAGGAACACCGAUGGCGAAGGCAGCCCCAUGGGUCAAGAUUGACGCUCAUGCACGAAAGCGUGGGGAGCAAACAGGAUUAGAUACCCUGGUAGUCCACGCCCUAAACGAUGUCUACUAGUUGUCGGGUCUUAAUUGACUUGGUAACGCAGCUAACGCGUGAAGUAGACCGCCUGGGGAGUACGGUCGCAAGAUUAAAACUCAAAGGAAUUGACGGGGACCCGCACAAGCGGUGGAUGAUGUGGAUUAAUUCGAUGCAACGCGAUAAACCUUACCUACCCUUGACAUGGCUGGAUCCCGGAGAGAUUUGGGAGUGCUCGAAAGAGAACCAGUACACAGGUGCUGCAUGGCU